RNAcentral lists this small RNA (125 nucleotides) under Marmota monax (woodchuck). Lineage: Eukaryota; Metazoa; Chordata; Mammalia; Rodentia; Sciuridae. The record is from RNAcentral.
GCCGGGCGUGGUGGCAUACACCCGUAAUCCCAGUGACUUGGGAGGCUGAGGCAGGAGGAUUGUGAGUUCAAAGCCAGUCUCAGCAAAAGUGAGGCGCUAAGCAACUCAGUGAGACCCUGUCUUUA